GACGAACGCUGGCGGCGUGCUUAACACAUGCAAGUCGAACGGAAAGGCCCUGCUUUUGUGGGGUGCUCGAGUGGCGAACGGGUGAGUAACACGUGAGUAACCUGCCCUUUACUUUGGGAUAACUUCAGGAAACUGGGGCUAAUACCGGAUAGGAGCUCCUGCUGCAUGGUGGGGGUUGGAAAGUUUCGGCGGUUGGGGAUGGACUCGCGGCUUAUCAGCUUGUUGGUGGGGUAGUGGCUUACCUAGGCUUUGACGGGUAGCCGGCCUGAGAGGGUGACCGGCCACAUUGGGACUGAGAUACGGCCCAGACUCCUACGGGAGGCAGCAGUGGGGAAUAUUGCACAAUGGGCGGAAGCCUGAUGCAGCAACGCCGCGUGCGGGAUGACGGCCUUCGGGUUGUAAACCGCUUUCGCCUGUGACGAAGCGUGAGUGACGGUAAUGGGUAAAGAAGCACCGGCUAACUACGUG
This 468-nucleotide ribosomal RNA is filed under the name uncultured bacterium. RNAcentral describes it as "partial 16S ribosomal RNA". It matches the Rfam family "Bacterial small subunit ribosomal RNA", at positions 28 to 507 of the family's 1533-position model. The record is from RNAcentral.